RNAcentral lists this ribosomal RNA (471 nucleotides) under uncultured bacterium. RNAcentral's name for it is "bacterial SSU rRNA". It matches the Rfam family "Bacterial small subunit ribosomal RNA", at positions 335 to 799 of the family's 1533-position model. The record is from RNAcentral.
ACUCCUACGGGAGGCAGCAGUGGGGAAUAUUGCACAAUGGGCGCAAGCCUGAUGCAGCCAUGCCGCGUGUGUGAAGAAGGCCUUCGGGUUGUAAAGCACUUUCAGUUGUGAGGAAAGGUUAGUCGCUAAUAUCGGCUAGCUGUGACGUUAGCAACAGAAGAAGCACCGGCUAACUCCGUGCCAGCAGCCGCGGUAAUACGGAGGGUGCGAGCGUUAAUCGGAAUUACUGGGCGUAAAGCGCGUGUAGGUGGCUUGUUAAGCCAGAUGUGAAAGCCCGGCGUCAACCUGGGAACUGCAUUUGGAACUGGCAGGCUAGAGUUUUGUAGAGGGUGGUGGAAUUUCCAGUGUAGCGGUGAAAUGCGUAGAGAUUGGAAGGAACAUCAGUGGCGAAGGCGGCCACCUGGACAGAUACUGACGCUGAGGCACGAAAGCGUGGGGAGCAAACAGGAUUAGAUACCCUGGUAGGACAGU